Molecule: transfer RNA, 67 nt
Filed under: Marmota monax (woodchuck)
Lineage: Eukaryota; Metazoa; Chordata; Mammalia; Rodentia; Sciuridae
Description: tRNA.Gly
Source: RNAcentral
GGUUGUGGAUCAGUGGUAGAGCACUUGCCUACCACAUGCGAAGCCCUGGGUUCAAUCCUCAGCACCA